This 610-nucleotide ribosomal RNA is filed under the name Ischnura damula. RNAcentral describes it as "partial large subunit ribosomal RNA". It matches the Rfam family "Eukaryotic large subunit ribosomal RNA", at positions 1389 to 1940 of the family's 3401-position model. Lineage: Eukaryota; Metazoa; Arthropoda; Insecta; Odonata; Coenagrionidae. The record is from RNAcentral.
UCGCGGCGGCGCGCGCAGAAGGGUCUGGGCUCGAGCCUGCCUGGAGCCGCCGCCGGUGCAGAUCUUGGUGGUAGUAGCAAAUACUCCAGCGAGGCCCUGGAGGACUGAUGUGGAGAAGGGUUUCGUGUGAACAGCCGUUGCACACGAGUCAGUCGAUCCUAAGCCCUAGGAGAAAUCCGACGCCAACGGCGACGGGAAUCAUUUGAAAGAGAAAAACACCCGUUGAUCGGGCGAAAGGGAAUCCGGUUCCUAUUCCGGAACCCGGCAGCGGAACCGCUGUUUGUCGGGCCCUCACAAGGGGUUCGUCAGGGUAACCUAAAAGGGCCCGGAGACGCCGUCGGGAGCCCCGGAAAGAGUUUUCUUUUCUGCAUGAGCGUUCGAGUUCCCUGGAAUCCUCUCGCAGGGAGAUAGGGUUUGGAACGCGAAGAGCACCGCAGUUGCGGCGGUGCCCGGGAAUUCCCGACGGACCUUGAAAAUCCGGGAGAGGGCCACGUGGAGGUGUCGCGCCGGCUCGUACCCAUAUCCGCAGCAGGUCUCCAAGGUGAAGAGCCUCUAGUCGAUAGAAUAAUGUAGGUAAGGGAAGUCGGCAAAUCGGAUCCGUAACUUCGGG